AUUCAGUGCGGCAUCCACCAACACAAGAACAGAAUGCGGGUCGCCCUUGUCGUUCUGUUUCUCGCCUCUAUGGCGGGAAGUUUACUAGCAGCAGGAUAUGGAAAAGGCUAUGGCGGAUAUAGUGGUGGCUAUGGGGGUGUAUACGGCUACGGUGGUGGUAAUAAUGGUUACGGUGGUGGUAACUAUGGUUACGGGGGCGGAAACUAUGGAUACGGUGGUUAUGGCGGUAAAGGCUAUGGUGGUUAUGGUGGUAAGGGGUAUGGUGGUUAUGGCGGUCGCAGUUAUGGUGGCUACGGUGGUCAAGGCUAUGGUGGUUAUGGUGGUCAGAGCUAUGGUGGUUACGGCAGUUAUGGAAAAGGAAUGGGAUAUAACAAUCUAGCAACUUAUAUUCCUACCCCAGUGGAAGUUCCAAUGCAGUAUAAUUUCCAACAACCGAAUAAUAUGAAUUUUAACUGGCUAUGGCUUGCUAUAGGGAUUCUUGCUCUGGCUUCCGCUCUCAGGAACGAUUGAAACAAUACGAUUUUCGUUCUUUUUUCAAUGUAUAUAGGAACUUGUCAAUAUGCUGUGAUACGUCUGGUCGUCAACUACCAAAGCCCCCGUUACUUUUAUUUAUUAUAAUAUUAAACAGAUUGCAAAUGGU
Molecule: long non-coding RNA, 640 nt
Organism: Mytilus californianus (California mussel)
Lineage: Eukaryota; Metazoa; Mollusca; Bivalvia; Mytilida; Mytilidae
Exons: 4
Source: RefSeq, a predicted model, not a curated record